This 23-nucleotide unclassified non-coding RNA is filed under the name Mus musculus (house mouse). Its description in RNAcentral is "oocyte_clustered_small_RNA6142". Lineage: Eukaryota; Metazoa; Chordata; Mammalia; Rodentia; Muridae. The record is from RNAcentral.
UAGACAUUAAGGUUACAGGUGGG